CAUUAUCGAAGAUAAGAGUGCGCUUUAUUGCGGCUCGACCCUUCAUCCACUCACCCUGUGCACUGUAAUACCUUUUUCAUUAGACUCUCAAGUCAUUGAAUGUAACACUUUAAUAAAGUAAACAAAACUUUCAACAACGGAUCUCUUGGCUCUCGCAUCGAUGAAGAACGCAGCGAAAUGCGAUAAGUAAUGUGAAUUGCAGAAUUCAGUGAAUCAUCGAAUCUUUGAACGCACCUUGCGCCUUUUGGUAUUCCGAAAGGCACACCUGUUUGAGUGUCAUGAACCUCUCAGCCCUAUCAUUUCUUGUAAAUGGUAGUGGUCUGGAUCCUGAGCGUUGCCGUUAUAACAAUGACGGCUCGUUCGAAAUGUAUAAGCCAUCUCCUUAUAAAUCGGAUUGACUCGGCGUGAUAAUUAUUCGUCGAGGACGCUUUAACCAGCGGCCGAAAUGUACUAGAGUAGCUUCUAAACCGCCUUUGCGCAUUUUAAUUUAGACCUCAAAUCAGGUGGGACUACCCGCUGAACUUAAGCAUAUCAAUAA
This 538-nucleotide ribosomal RNA is filed under the name Pucciniomycetes sp. PIMO_247. Its description in RNAcentral is "eukaryotic LSU rRNA". The stretch from base 126 to 279 matches the Rfam family "5.8S ribosomal RNA". The record is from RNAcentral. Lineage: Eukaryota; Fungi; Basidiomycota; Pucciniomycetes.